GAUGAACGCUGGCGGCGUGCCUAAAACAUGCAAGUCGUGCGGUAACAGGGAGAAGCUUGCUUCUCUGCUGACGAGCGGCGGACGGCUGAGUAACGCGUGGGAAUCUGCCCCGAAGUGAGGGAUAACUGCCCGAAAGGAUGGCUAAUACCGCAUAUGGUCUACGGAUUGAAGAAGCAAUUCGCUUCGGGAGGAGCCCGCGUAAGAUUAGCUAGUUGGGGAGGUAAUGGCUCACCAAGGCGACGAUCUUUAACUGGUUUGAGAGGAUGAUCAGUCAGACUGGAACUGAGACACGGUCCAGACUCCUACGGGAGGCAGCAGUUAGGAAUAUUCCACAAUGGGGGCAACCCUGAUGGAGCAACGCCGCGUGGAGGAUGAAGGCCUUCGGGUUGUAAACUUCUUUUCUAUGCGAAGAAUAUGACGGUAACAUAGGAAUAAGGGUCUGCUAACUACGUGCCAGCAGCCGCGGUAA
RNAcentral lists this ribosomal RNA (469 nucleotides) under uncultured bacterium. RNAcentral's name for it is "partial 16S ribosomal RNA". It matches the Rfam family "Bacterial small subunit ribosomal RNA", at positions 28 to 523 of the family's 1533-position model. The record is from RNAcentral.